GAAACUUGCAUCCUGAUACUGCCAGGACCUUGAGUUAAUGGAGGGUUAGCUGGAAUUCUCGGUUGUAGCAGUGAAAUGGUCGUGGAUAUCGAGAGGAACACUCGUGGCGAAGGCUGAGCUAGCUGUGACAUUUACUGUACGUCUGAGGUCUCGAAUGGCCAGGGUAGCGAAAUGGGAUUAGAUACCCCUUGUAGUCCUGGCAAGUAAACGGUGUGCGCUUGUGUUUGAGGGUGUUUCGACCCCCCUUGUGCCGGAGCUAACGCGUUAAGCGCACCGCCUGGGGAAGUACGGUCGCAAGACUUAAAAUACUCAAAUGAAUUGACGG
Molecule: ribosomal RNA, 325 nt
Filed under: uncultured bacterium
Lineage: Bacteria
Also listed under: 1 other name
Description: bacterial SSU rRNA
Rfam family: Bacterial small subunit ribosomal RNA
Source: RNAcentral